Molecule: long non-coding RNA, 1136 nt
Organism: Passer domesticus (house sparrow)
Lineage: Eukaryota; Metazoa; Chordata; Aves; Passeriformes; Passeridae
Exons: 3
Source: RefSeq, a predicted model, not a curated record
AGGUGCUGCAUUGCGUCUUUGAGUUCUGGCCUGGGAAAAGAGUGGAUGUCACAGGGCUGUUCCUCACCCUAGGUGCUGCUGGACUUCACCAACUCUGAAACCACUGCUGUGCAGAAGAGGGUCUGAGGGGCGAUCAGGAAUCUGAGUCAUGGGCUGGCUGACAUUUCCAAAUGGGAGAUGUGAGCUGCUGGCAUCUUCCUAUUGCCAUAACCAUGUAAUGAGACUGAUGCUGGAAAACAAACAUUGUGAGAGGCGUUCCUCAGCACUCCUGUCCCGUGUGUGAUUUGUACAUGGACUCCCGGCUGGCAAUAAAUGAUGCUUCUGAAUGAGGAGGAUUUUUAGACUAGAGGAAUAUAAAAAACAAAAAAGAAGACCAUGGACAGUGCUACUGCUUGAGGCCCAGGCUCUUAAAAGGAGGCAUGGAUCAUCUCCUUCAUCAUCUGUAGCUGGUAUCCUUGUAAGUAAUAAAUAGCAACUCUAUGGGCUCCUGGACAACAAUAUGGGAAACCACCUAUCUAAAACUGAAUGGGAUACCUUUUAUCAUCUUGAGACAAUUUUACAAGAUAAAGGACGUUCAGACAUCUCAAAACAUGAACUAAAAAACUUAUUAAUCUGGGUAAAAGCAAAUACUCAAAAUAUAGACUUGAAGUCAGCUUUUACCUUUGAUUUCUGGGACCGGAUAAACUGGAAAAUUUACAAUCUAGUCUCUCCCAAAAAGGAAAAUACUUUGGUCAAACUAAUGCCUGUCUCCAGAACUUUAAUUGGGAGUUUUAAACAGAAUGAUCAUAAUAGAGACUUUCUCGAACACCAAAACAGAACACCUGGUUCUGAGACCUUCAUUCUGAGUGGUGCUGGGUCUUCGUCCUCCUCUGGGGGGAUCUCGGGUUUUGUUUGGGGUUCCUGCCCUUCUCCUGGCAUGUCCAGGGUUUCCCCAGGCAUUGUGAACAGCAUCCCAAACCCCGGGAAGGGGGAAUCAGAUCAGCUUCCAGAUUCGGUCAUGUCUUCUGUUUCUUCUGGGAUUCCCUGCGUCACUGAUACUGCGACCGGGCAUCCUCCCAUUCCUCUGGGAAACCAUCCACCUCUGGAGUUCCCGGGAAAGGGUUUGGGAUUUUCAUUGUAUUCCGAGAAUUUAGGGG